CCUACGGGUGGCAGCAGUGGGGAAUAUUGGACAAUGGGCGAAAGCCUGAUCCAGCCAUGCCGCGUGUGUGAAGAAGGCCUUCGGGUUGUAAAGCACUUUCAGUGGGGAAGAAAGCCUUGGGGCUAAUACCCUCGAGGAAGGACAUCACCCACAGAAGAAGCACCGGCUAACUCCGUGCCAGCAGCCGCGGUAAUACGGAGGGUGCGAGCGUUAAUCGGAAUUACUGGGCGUAAAGCGCGCGUAGGCGGUCUGAUAAGCCGGUUGUGAAAGCCCCGGGCUCAACCUGGGAACGGCAUCCGGAACUGUCAGGCUAGAGGGCAGGAGAGGAAGGUAGAAUUCCCGGUGUAGCGGGGAAAUGCGUAGAGAUCGGGAGGAAUACCAGUGGCGAAGGCGGCCUUCUGGACUGACACUGACGCUGAGGUGCGAAAGCGUGGGUAGCAAACAGGAUUAGAUACCCUUGUAGUC
RNAcentral lists this ribosomal RNA (465 nucleotides) under Vreelandella stevensii. RNAcentral describes it as "partial 16S ribosomal RNA". It matches the Rfam family "Bacterial small subunit ribosomal RNA", at positions 338 to 795 of the family's 1533-position model. Lineage: Bacteria; Pseudomonadati; Pseudomonadota; Gammaproteobacteria; Oceanospirillales; Halomonadaceae. The record is from RNAcentral.